Non-coding RNA from Caenorhabditis elegans, 196 nucleotides. The record is from Ensembl. NCBI's taxonomy places the organism in Eukaryota, Metazoa, Nematoda, Chromadorea, Rhabditida, Rhabditidae.
GUGCGAACAGUCCCCCCAUUGCUCGCCUUGUAUCUCCAAUAGAAAAAAGAACGAACAAACGCGCAGCACAAUUGCCUCUUCUCAGAUUUCAAUUUAAAAAAACGUCUUUCGGUCUCCUUGUUCAAGAGGGCGAUUCACGUCAAUCCGGUGGUGAGAAAACAAAUAAUCGAUUGCGGGUCAACAUUGCAAUGAACAG